This 447-nucleotide ribosomal RNA is filed under the name uncultured bacterium. RNAcentral's name for it is "bacterial SSU rRNA". It matches the Rfam family "Bacterial small subunit ribosomal RNA", at positions 330 to 793 of the family's 1533-position model. The record is from RNAcentral.
GCCAGACUCCUACGGGAGGCAGCAGUCGGGAAUAUUGCGCAAUGGAGGAAACUCUGACGCAGCGACGCCGCGUAUAGGAAGAAGGGUUUCGGAUUGUAAACUACUAUCAUUAGGGAAGAUAAAAGACUGUACCUAAGGAGGAAGCCCCGGCUAACUAUGUGCCAGCAGCCGCGGUAAUACAUAGGGGGCAAGCGUUAUCCGGAAUUAUUGGGUGUAAAGGGUGCGUAGACGGAAGAACAAGUUGGUUGUGAAAUCCCUCGGCUCAACUGAGGAACUGCAACCAAAACUCUUCUCCUUGAGUGUCGGAGAGGAAAGUGGAAUUCCUAGUGUAGCGGUGAAAUGCGUAGAUAUUAGGAGGAACACCAGUGGCGAAGGCGACUUUCUGGACGAUAACUGACGUUGAGGCACGAAAGUGUGGGGAGCAAACAGGAUUAGAUCCCCGUGUAA